Rhineura floridana is the source of this 1519-nucleotide long non-coding RNA. RefSeq lists it as uncharacterized. The record is from RefSeq and is a predicted model, not a curated record. The transcript has 4 exons. NCBI's taxonomy places the organism in Eukaryota, Metazoa, Chordata, Lepidosauria, Squamata, Rhineuridae.
UCCAAACAAACGAAAAAGGCUAGAGGAAUGGUGGGGGGGAAAGGAAAGUACACACUAUGCUCGCCCUGCCCUCCCACCUACCUUUAAUCACCGGUCAAACUUUUAUUUGAAUGCUUAGGGAAGAAGGCAAGAGAGCCAGAGAGAGGCUGCCACCGAAAAUAAUCUGUCGCUCCUGAGGGAUCCGAAGUAAACCCCUGCUUGGUGGCUGCUACAGGAAAGCAGAUGUGUGAGGGAGGAAUGGGAAUAUCUUUCACACAGAUCACAGAAUCAUCUGCCUGCCUGGAACCACCUAUUAAACUGGAGAAAAGCUUAAAAUAAAGUGGACAUUUGAACCUGUUUCACCUCCUCUGAUCUUUGAUUCUGUGUUCGUCACGGACUCCACUUCAUCCAUGAGUUGAAAGAGUGUGUGCAAGAGUACCUCAAAGGCAAACCAGAAGCUUUGGGGAGGAACAAUGUGAUAUCUCACUUAGCAUAAUUGCUGUAUAGUGAAAGCACCACUCAAGAGAAGGAAAGUUCUGUAAAGAAUCUGAACUGUCCCUAAAUGAUUUUAGAAUUAGAUUAAAGAUAACAGUUUAUGAAGGGGGAAGAAUGUUUUUUUUUUAAUUUUUUACAAAUUAGUUUCUUAAAAUUGAACCUAUUUUAAUCAGUGGCUAGACUGGAACCUUAUAAAUUCAUAUGUGUGUUAUAAGAUAGUAAAAGAAAAAAGCCAGAGAGAAGCAGGAACAAAGACAAAAAAUAAUUACAUCCACAGCAGAAUUAAUUUACAAUUUUACUAUUAUUACUGUAUUUAAGAGGUCAAGAAGGGCAGGUGGUGAUUUAGUUAAAAGAGCUCUAUUUCAUUGGUCAAAUAGAAUGAAGGGUUUUGUAUAAAGUAUAACAUGAUGUAAACUUAAUGCAUUGACACAGAGUUCAUAUGCAGUGUAAUUUAUCAUAGAUGUCAUCACAAAGUUCAAUAAGAAUAGUAUGUGAAGCAAAAAAAGUAAAUAGAAAUAAUUGCAGUUUCAGAUAAAUGUACUGAGAGGAAAGUAAUAAAAUCUGCACAUUUGUAAACAAUAUGGAAACUGUGUGCCACUAUAUAUAAAAGUGGCCCUCAAUCUGUCUACGGAUACAAGUGGGGCCUGCACCAAAAUGUUGCAGUGUGUUCUCAUCAUUAUCAUUCCAGCCCACCAGCCAUGCUGUCUUCCAGACACUCCAUUCCAUUCCUUCCCUCCACCCCAGUUUCCCCCCCCUUUUUUUCUCUCAAUAGACUUUUAGCAUUUUGUGGCCACUAAGCAUGCUCAGUCCUUAUAUGGUUGUUUUUUAGGGUUUUUGCCCCUGUGACAGAAGAGCAAGUGGAAGAAUUAUUGACGAUAGGGGACUGGAAUGGAUUUUGUGCUGAGUUAGAGUGACUGGUAGAAUCAGCUGGAAAAUGACAGUUGGAAUGGGCAAGAGUGUGGCUGUCGGAAAGACAAGAGGGGAGUGAGAUGAGAGGGGUAAUGAAACCAUAUAUAAAAGAGUUAACUUAGUUGUUAAGGAGAAG